RNAcentral lists this ribosomal RNA (470 nucleotides) under uncultured Arcicella sp. RNAcentral's name for it is "bacterial SSU rRNA". It matches the Rfam family "Bacterial small subunit ribosomal RNA", at positions 30 to 511 of the family's 1533-position model. The record is from RNAcentral. Lineage: Bacteria; Pseudomonadati; Bacteroidota; Cytophagia; Cytophagales; Flectobacillaceae.
UGAACGCUAGCGGCAGGCCUAAUACAUGCAAGUCGAACGGUGUCUUCGGACAUAGUGGCGCACGGGUGCGUAACACGUAUGCAACCUACCUUACAUUGGGGGAUAGCCUUUCGAAAGGGAGAUUAAUACCGCAUAAGACAGUAGUCUGGCAUCAGACAGCUGUUAAAGAUUUAUCGAUGUAAGCUGGGCAUGCGUCCAAUUAGUUAGUUGGCGAGGUAACGGCUCACCAAGACUAUGAUUGGUAGGGGAACUGAGAGGUCAAUCCCCCGCACUGGCACUGAGAUACGGGCCAGACUCCUACGGGAGGCAGCAGUAGGGAAUAUUGGGCAAUGGACGCAAGUCUGACCCAGCCAUGCCGCGUGCAGGAAGAAGGCGUUAUGCGUUGUAAACUGCUUUUAUACAGGAAGAACGACUCUUGCGAGAGGCAUUGACGGUACUGUAUGAAUAAGCACCGGCUAACUCCGUGCCAG